Long non-coding RNA from Pecten maximus, 843 nucleotides. RefSeq lists it as uncharacterized. Lineage: Eukaryota; Metazoa; Mollusca; Bivalvia; Pectinida; Pectinidae. The record is from RefSeq and is a predicted model, not a curated record. The transcript has 3 exons.
AAUAUGAAUACGAGCUGCUCCUCGACAGCUGUUAGUCAGGCGGACCUUCCGAUCAGUAUAACUUGGUUAAAAAACGGGACAUUCAUCCCUGGUGCUACCCUGUCAACCAACGGUCUCGUGACGACUAGCGAAGUUUCCAUCCCUAUUACAUCACGGCCUGAAAUGGUUCGUGCCACCAUUACCUGUCAAGCAAGCAACAGCAACGGCCAGAUGUCUCAUCUGAAACCAUCUUUGAUGUCAGACAAAAACCAAUCGUCCCAAAUAUAAUCCCUGUCGGCGGGGCGACUUAUUUCGAUGAAGGUACAACAGGAACAUGGACAUUGAAUGUGACUCACGCUUACCCUAGUGUAAUACAGUACACUUGUUACGUAAAUGGUAAUGUGAUCACCGUCUCAGAAAGCAGAGGCACAAAUGGCGACGACAAUACCUACAAUCUACUAAUUACUAUUACACGAGCUCUGAUCUCAGCUGAUCACAACGUGGCCAUCACAUGUGACAUCAAUCAUGACACCUUCCCCGAGCCAGAUAAAAAAACUACGAGGACGGCCUUCAUGAUCGUACGGCACAAACCCGGACAACCAAGCGUCAAUACCAGUUUUGGUACUUCCGGGGUGAAUGAGAAUACCAAUAUCCAUGGUUACUGCUCGUCAAGGGGCGGUUUUCCUACUCCAAGCGUAACUUGGUCUGGACCUUCCAGCAUGUCCCUCUCAUCCGCAUCUCAAGGUGACCUUGUAAUCAGCAGAUUUGACAUCGUCGCUACUGUUGAAUUGAUUGGCCAGAUAUUCACCUGCACUACUUCAAACGUAAUGGGAUCUUUCAGUGCCUCAGGGACUCUGUCGCAAG